UCACCCAGGCAAAAGCUGGGGCUCAUUAUUUUGAAGGUGAUGAAUAGACACCAAAUAACAUCUGUGGAUCUGGAAGCUCCAGGACAGUGCUUUUUCUGCUGCACUGGCAAAAGAAUAUAAUUUAAACAUUGUUUUCCUUCCAGCUCCUUUCUCACCUCCACCAGUAAUCCUAAACUCUGUCAAAAUAUUUUCCCUUAGCAAGAAGUUCUGCCAAUGGUGAGACAGAAUUGGUCCAACAGUGAAACAUGAAGAACAGAAGGCUUUUACCUGUUGCAAAAGAUAUCUGAGAACCAGAGAUAAAAUAAGGACCCUGGGGCCUUGCUAUACAUUCAGAUUGCACAUGCAAUGAAGGAGAAUAUACAGCAAAUGGAAAGUGAGAAGUCCUUCCUGUCCAUAUGCUGGACUCAGGUGUAGCUGUGCUGGAUCAACAGCAGAAGUUGGAACUCCCUGCCAGGUGUGCCACAGAGUUGCUCAUG
Long non-coding RNA from Parus major (Great Tit), 476 nucleotides. RefSeq lists it as uncharacterized. NCBI's taxonomy places the organism in Eukaryota, Metazoa, Chordata, Aves, Passeriformes, Paridae. The transcript is spliced from 3 exons. The record is from RefSeq and is a predicted model, not a curated record.